Molecule: ribosomal RNA, 493 nt
Filed under: uncultured bacterium
Lineage: Bacteria
Description: partial 16S ribosomal RNA
Rfam family: Bacterial small subunit ribosomal RNA
Source: RNAcentral
AUUGAACGCUGGCGGCAUGCUUUACACAUGCAAGUCGAACGGUAACAGGUUAAGCUGACGAGUGGCGAACGGGUGAGUAAUGCAUCGGAACGUGCCCGAUCGUGGGGGAUAACGCAGCGAAAGCUGCGCUAAUACCGCAUACGAUCUGAGGAUGAAAGCGGGGGACCGUAAGGCCUCGCGCGAUCGGAGCGGCCGGUGUCAGAUUAGGUAGUUGGUGGGGUAAAGGCCCACCAAGCCGACGAUCUGUAGCUGGUCUGAGAGGACGACCGGCCGCACUGGGACUGCGACACGGCGCAGACUCGUACGGGAGGCAGCAGUGGGGAAAUUUGGACAAUGGGCGAAAGACUGAUCCAGCAAUGCCGGGUGCAGGAAGAAGGCCUUCGGGUUGUAAACUGCUUUUGUACGGAGCGAAACGGUCCUUUCUAAUACAAGGGGCUCAUGACGGUACCGUAGGAAUAAGCACCGGCUAACUACGUGCCAGCCGCCGCCGUAA